UUUUUAAAUUCCCAUAAUCCAAUAUGCCAAAAUGGCUGCCAAAUCAAAAAUCAAUUUGUCAACAUGAUAAAUACAUGGCUGCCAAAACCAAUCUGUCAACAUGAUAAAUCAAAAUGGCUGCCAAAUCCAAUUCAAAAACCAUAAAAUUUCGAUAAAUCCAAUCUGAAAUGGCUGAAUCUAACAAACUCAAUCAAAAACCAUAAUCUAAUCUAACAAAAUGGCUGCCAAAUCAAUGGCCGAAAUCAACAAAUUUAAUGGCUGAAAUGACUGAAUCUAACAAACUCAAUCUCUCAAAAAUGGCUGAAAUCAACAAUUUAUCUAACAAAAUCAAAAUGGUGCGGCGCAGCGGCGACCGGUGCGUGCGUGCGUCGAGAGAGCUGUAAAAGAGAGAGUGUGAAAGAGAGUUGGGCAGAGAGUAAAAGAGAGAGUGUGAAAGAGGGAGUCGCCGA
This 449-nucleotide long non-coding RNA is filed under the name Salvia miltiorrhiza (redroot sage). RNAcentral describes it as "long non-coding RNA (SMIL_LNC014151)". The record is from RNAcentral. Lineage: Eukaryota; Viridiplantae; Streptophyta; Magnoliopsida; Lamiales; Lamiaceae.